GAUGAACGCUGGCGGCGUGCCUAAUACAUGCAAGUCGAGCGAACAGACGAGGAGCUUGCUCCUCUGACGUUAGCGGCGGACGGGUGAGUAACACGUGGAUAACCUACCUAUAAGACUGGGAUAACUUUGGGAAACCGGAGCUAAUACCGGAUAAUAUAUUGAACCGCAUGGUUCAAUAGUGAAAGACGGUUUUGCUGUCACUUAUAGAUGGAUCCGCGCCGCAUUAGCUAGUUGGUAAGGUAACGGCUUACCAAGGCGACGAUGCGUAGCCGACCUGAGAGGGUGAUCGGCCACACUGGAACUGAGAACCGGUCCAGACUCCUACGGGAGGCAGCAGUAGGGAAUCUUCCGCAAUGGGCGAAAGCCUGACGGAGCAACGCCGCGUGAGUGAUGAAGGUCUUCGGAUCGUAAAACUCUGUUAUUAGGGAAGAACAAAUGUGUAAGUAACUAUGCACGUCUUGACGGUACCUAAUCAGAAAGCCACGGCUAACUACGUG
Molecule: ribosomal RNA, 497 nt
Filed under: uncultured bacterium
Lineage: Bacteria
Description: partial 16S ribosomal RNA
Rfam family: Bacterial small subunit ribosomal RNA
Source: RNAcentral